Molecule: ribosomal RNA, 307 nt
Filed under: uncultured bacterium
Lineage: Bacteria
Description: bacterial SSU rRNA
Rfam family: Bacterial small subunit ribosomal RNA
Source: RNAcentral
GACGAACGCUGGCGGCGUGCCUAACACAUGCAAGUCGAACGGAGCAGAUCCCUUCGGGGGUUUGCUUAGUGGCGAACGGGUGAGUAACGCGUGAGGAACCUGCCUUUCAGUGGGGGACAACAGUUGGAAACGACUGCUAAUACCGCAUAAUGCAACGAAAUCGCAUGACUUUGUUGCCAAAGAUUUAUCGCUCUGAGAUGGCCUCGCGUCUGAUUAGCUAGUUGGCGGGGUAACGGCCCACCAAGGCGACGAUCAGUAGCCGGACUGAGAGGUUGGCCGGCCACAUUGGGACUGAGACACGGCCCAG